This 279-nucleotide ribosomal RNA is filed under the name uncultured bacterium. RNAcentral's name for it is "partial 16S ribosomal RNA". It matches the Rfam family "Bacterial small subunit ribosomal RNA", at positions 506 to 784 of the family's 1533-position model. The record is from RNAcentral.
UGCCAGCAGCCGCGGUAAUACGGAGGGGGCUAGCGUUGUUCGGAAUUACUGGGCGUAAAGCGCGCGUAGGCGGCUGGGUAAGUCAGAUGUGAAAGCCCCGGGCUCAACCUGGGAAUUGCAUUUGAUACUGCCUGGCUAGAGUCUGUCAGAGGGUGGCGGAAUUCCGGGUGUAGCGGUGAAAUGCGUAGAUAUCCGGAGGAACACCGGUGGCGAAGGCGGCCACCUGGGGCGAGACUGACGCUGAGGUGCGAAAGCGUGGGGAGCAAACAGGAUUAGAUA